UCCGAAUUGGUGUAGUGGCUAACAUUACACGCUCUCAUUAUUCAACUGAAUGACAAGUGCCGUGUAGCCCGGGGUUCGAUUCCCCGAUUCGGAG
Pseudomassariella vexata is the source of this 94-nucleotide non-coding RNA. Lineage: Eukaryota; Fungi; Ascomycota; Sordariomycetes; Amphisphaeriales; Pseudomassariaceae. The record is from the annotation of a RefSeq genome assembly.